CUGAAUUAAUGAGGGGUUGUUGCUGGCUCCUUGGAGCAUGUGCACGCCUUUCAAAUUCAUCUUAACCACCUGUGCACUUGUGUAGGCUAUGAUAACUCUCAGCGUUUUUCAAACGCUGGAUUGAGAGAUAUGCGCUUCAGCUGUCUUUCAAUUUCGUAGUCUACGUUUUAUCUCAUAUACUACUGUCUUUGAAUGUCUUGUAUGGGUUUUCAUACCUAUAAAACUUUAUA
RNAcentral lists this unclassified non-coding RNA (230 nucleotides) under uncultured Agaricales. RNAcentral describes it as "sequence contains ITS1". Lineage: Eukaryota; Fungi; Basidiomycota; Agaricomycetes; Agaricales. The record is from RNAcentral.